UACGGGGGGGGCAAGCGUUGUUCGGAAUUACUGGGCGUAAAGGGCGCGUAGGCGGUUUGCUAAGUUGGAUGUGAAAACUCUGGGCUUAACCCAGAGCCUGCAUCCAAAACUGGCAAACUUGAGUACUGGAGGGGAAAGCGGAAUUCCUGGUGUAGCGGUGAAAUGCGGAGAUAUCAGGAGGAACACCGGUGGCGAAGGCGGCCAUCUGGACGGUGACUGACGCUGAGACGCGAAAGCGUGGGGAGCAAACAGG
This 253-nucleotide ribosomal RNA is filed under the name uncultured bacterium. RNAcentral describes it as "partial 16S ribosomal RNA". It matches the Rfam family "Bacterial small subunit ribosomal RNA", at positions 524 to 776 of the family's 1533-position model. The record is from RNAcentral.